Molecule: ribosomal RNA, 252 nt
Filed under: uncultured Bacteroidales bacterium
Lineage: Bacteria; Pseudomonadati; Bacteroidota; Bacteroidia; Bacteroidales
Description: partial 16S ribosomal RNA
Rfam family: Bacterial small subunit ribosomal RNA
Source: RNAcentral
UACGUAGGGGGCAAGCGUUAUCCGGAUUUAUUGGGUUUAAAGGGUGCGUAGGCGGAGUGUCAAGUCAGCGGUAAAAUUUCGGGGCUCAACCCCGUCGUGCCGUUGAAACUGAUGAUCUUGAGUGGGCGAGAAGUAUGCGGAAUGCGUGGUGUAGCGGUGAAAUGCAUAGAUAUCACGCAGAACUCCGAUUGCGAAGGCAGCAUACCGGCGCCCGACUGACGCUGAAGCACGAAAGCGUGGGUAUCGAACAGG